AACGAACGCUGGCGGCAUGCCUAACACAUGCAAGUCGAACGAGACCUUCGGGUCUAGUGGCGCACGGGUGCGUAACGCGUGGGAACCUGCCCUUAGGUUCGGAAUAACUCCCCGAAAGGGGUGCUCAUACCGGAUAAUGUCUUCGGACCAAAGAUUUAUCGCCUUUGGAUGGGCCCGCGUUGGAUUAGCUAGUUGGUAGGGUAAAAGCCUACCAAGGCGACGAUCCAUAGCUGGUCUGAGAGGAUGAUCAGCCACACUGGGACUGAGACACGGCCCAGACUCCUACGGGAGGCAGCAGUGGGGAAUAUUGGACAAGGGGCGAAAGCCUGAUCCAGCAAUGCCGCGUGAGUGAUGAAGGCCUUAGGGUUGUAAAGCUCUUUUACCCGGGAUGAUAAUGACAGUACCGGGAGAAUAAGCGCCGGCUAACUCCGUG
RNAcentral lists this ribosomal RNA (433 nucleotides) under uncultured bacterium. Its description in RNAcentral is "partial 16S ribosomal RNA". It matches the Rfam family "Bacterial small subunit ribosomal RNA", at positions 29 to 507 of the family's 1533-position model. The record is from RNAcentral.